RNAcentral lists this ribosomal RNA (257 nucleotides) under uncultured bacterium. RNAcentral describes it as "partial 16S ribosomal RNA". It matches the Rfam family "Bacterial small subunit ribosomal RNA", at positions 524 to 776 of the family's 1533-position model. The record is from RNAcentral.
UACGAGAGGGACAAGUGUUGUUCGUCCUGACUGGGCGUAAAGGGCACGUAGACCACCAUUCUUAUGGGCAAAGCAAAGGCUGUGCAGGGAGUGCAUAGAAGGUUUUGCUACAUUCAUUGUGGUUAGAGUUACGACUCGGGAUCAUAGAAAUUUUUUAUUGGGCUAGAAUCCUAAAAAAAAUAAAUUGCCGAUAACGGUGAAGGCGUUGAUCUGGAGGUAACUGACGUUUAGGUGCGAAAGUAUGGGGAGCAAAUAGG